RNAcentral lists this ribosomal RNA (484 nucleotides) under uncultured bacterium. RNAcentral describes it as "partial 16S ribosomal RNA". It matches the Rfam family "Bacterial small subunit ribosomal RNA", at positions 28 to 523 of the family's 1533-position model. The record is from RNAcentral.
GACGAACGCUGGCGGCGUGCUUAACACAUGCAAGUCGAACGGGGUCCAGUCUGUAGCAAUACAGAGGAAGACCUAGUGGCGAACGGGUGAGGAACACGCGAGGAAUCUGUCCCGAACUCUGGGAUAACAGUUGGAAACGACUGCUAAUACCGGAUGCCGUCAUUGGAUCGCAUGAUUCGAUGACGAAAGAAUUUCGGUUCGGAAGGAUCUCGCGGCCUAUCAGCUUUGUGGUGGGGUAAUGGCCUACCAAGGCAUCGACGGGUAGCUGGUCUCAGAGGAUGAUCAGACACACGAGAACUGAGACACGGCCCAGACUCCUACGGGAGGAAGCAGUGGGGAAAGUUGCGCACUGGGCGAAAGCCUGACGCAGCAACGCCGCUUGCGGGAAGAAGGCCUUCGGGGCGUAAACAGCUUUCAGCAGGAACGAAAAUGACGGUACCUGCAGAAGAAGGUGCGGCCAACUACGUGCCAGCCGCCGCCGUAA